UCCACUGAUGGAGAACAAGGAAGAUGGAAGACUACCAUCAUCUACCAAUGGAGGAGGAGCAGGAGAAAAAUGGGGGAGCACCAGCAUCCAAAAGUAUCCCACAAUCAGCCACGGGAGGAGAUAUCAGCAGAGGAAAGAAAGACUAACAACCAAAACAAUGUAAGUAAAACCUUUUAUUUACACAGACAGACACUGAUCACAUGUUUAAUGUAUAAAUAGACGUCACAUUUUACUAACGCCUGUAAAAUUUCGGAGAGGAACGCCAACAUCCACUGAUGGAGGAGGAGAAGAAAGAUGGAAGAGUACAUCAUCUACCAAUGGAGGAGCAGGAGUCAAAAUGGUGGAGCACCAGCAUCCAAAAGUGUCCCACAAUCAGCCCCAGGAGGAGAUAUCAGCAGAGGAAAGAAAGACUAUUAACUAAAACAAUAAUCCACUGAUGGAGAACAAGGAAGAUGGAAGACUACCAUCAUCUACCAAUGGAGGAGGAGGAGGAGAAAAAUGCGGGAGCACCAGCAUCCAAAAGUGUCCCAUAAUCAGCCACAGGAGGAGAUAUCAGCAGAGGAAAGAAAGACUAAUAACCAAAACAAUGUAAGCAAAACCUCUCAUUUACACAGAAAGACACUCACAUGUUUAAUGUAUAAAUAGACGUCACGUUUUACUAACGCCUGUAAAAUUUCGGAGAGGAACGCCAACAUCCACUGAUGGAGGAGAAGAAAGAUGGAGGACGGGAGUGCCAGCAUCUACCAAUGGAGGAGAAGAAAUACUUUUAUUAACCAAAACAAUGUAAGUAAAACCUCUCGUUUACACAGAAAGACACUGGACACGUUUAUUGUAAAAAUUUACUUUCUAAUAAUACCUGUAAAAUGUUCGACUUGACCACCAGAAUCCACUGAUGAGAACAAGGAAGAUGGAAGACUACCAUCAUCUACCAAUAGACGAGCAGGAGAAAAAUGGGGGAGCACCAGCAUCCAAGUGUCCCACAAUCAGCCACAGGAGGAGAUAUCAGCAGAGGAAAGAAAGACUAACAACCAAAACAAUGUAAGCAAAACCUCUCAUUUACAAAGAAAGACACUGAUCACAUGUUUAAUGUAUAAAUAGACGUCACGUUUUACUAACACCUGUAAUAUUUUGGAGAGGAACGCCAACAUCCACUGAUGGAGGAGGAGAAGAAAGAUGGAGGGAGUACAUCAUCGACCAAUGGAGGAGCAGGAGAAAAAUGGGGGAGCACCAGCAUCCAAAAGUGUCCCACAAUCAGCCCUAGGAGGAGACGCCAGCAGAGGAAAGAAACAAUAUUAACCAAAACAAUGUAAGUAAAACCUGUCAUUUACACAGAAAGACACUGGACACGUUUAUUGUAAAAAUGCUGCCAUUGGUAAAAAAAAAAAAGAGAAAUAGAUG
RNAcentral lists this long non-coding RNA (1398 nucleotides) under Gouania willdenowi (blunt-snouted clingfish). RNAcentral describes it as "lncRNA (ENSGWIG00000009578.1)". The record is from RNAcentral. Lineage: Eukaryota; Metazoa; Chordata; Actinopteri; Blenniiformes; Gobiesocidae.